CGUACCUUUAGCUCAGUUGGUUAGAGCAGACGGCUCAUAACCGUCCGGUCGUAGGUUCGAGUCCUAAAGGGUACA
Molecule: transfer RNA, 75 nt
Filed under: Enterococcus faecium E980
Lineage: Bacteria; Bacillati; Bacillota; Bacilli; Lactobacillales; Enterococcaceae
Description: tRNA-Met
Rfam family: tRNA
About the family: Transfer RNA (tRNA) molecules are approximately 80 nucleotides in length. Their secondary structure includes four short double-helical elements and three loops (D, anti-codon, and T loops). Further hydrogen bonds mediate the characteristic L-shaped molecular structure. tRNAs have two regions of fundamental functional importance: the anti-codon, which is responsible for specific mRNA codon recognition, and the 3' end, to which the tRNAs corresponding amino acid is attached (by aminoacyl-tRNA synthetases). tRNAs cope with the degeneracy of the genetic code in two manners: having more than one tRNA (with a specific anti-codon) for a particular amino acid; and 'wobble' base-pairing, i.e. permitting non-standard base-pairing at the 3rd anti-codon position.
Source: RNAcentral